CUCUCUGCUUUAAUUCACCAUCCUUUAUCAAUUCGUGCUGGACAACUUCCACUUCUUCACCUUUCCUCUCGAUCUCUCCCUCCUCAUUAUUUUUAUUCUUAUUUUUCUUUGUCACGCAGCAGGUAGCAGCGGCGGCGCAAGGCAGGGAGAGGAGAGCCUGUCAGGAGGACUGCUGCUGCUGGGCUCAGUGUGAGUGGCGGCAGUGGUUGGAUCCGUCACACCACCGGCGACGAUGAGCGAAGGUGUGGAGACGGCCGCGCCACAUUGAUUGGGGGCCGUGUUGUGGUUACCGCCAUGGCCCAGGACUCCCUCACUUCGUCUCACAGUCGCCCCGCCACCAUUAGGACCAUGGUAGCCUCACCUGAAGCUGCAUCACACACUGCUGAUGUCCAGCAAGUCAAGGUGAAAAACAUCUCUAAACAGCGGUCUGGUGCAGAGGAUACAACACACAUGCAGGUCCUCAACUUUCAUCCAGUUCUGGGGCAAGUCAAGUCCUUUGGCA
Long non-coding RNA from Scylla paramamosain (green mud crab), 502 nucleotides. RefSeq lists it as uncharacterized. The transcript is spliced from 3 exons. The record is from RefSeq and is a predicted model, not a curated record. NCBI's taxonomy places the organism in Eukaryota, Metazoa, Arthropoda, Malacostraca, Decapoda, Portunidae.